Molecule: ribosomal RNA, 881 nt
Filed under: Staphylococcus sp. M_Sw_oHS_09/11_6_2(1)
Lineage: Bacteria; Bacillati; Bacillota; Bacilli; Caryophanales; Staphylococcaceae
Description: bacterial SSU rRNA
Rfam family: Bacterial small subunit ribosomal RNA
Source: RNAcentral
GGAUGAACGCUGGCGGCGUGCCUAAUACAUGCAAGUCGAGCGAACAGACGAGGAGCUUGCUCCUCUGACGUAGCGGCGGACGGGUGAGUAACACGUGGAUAACCUACCUAUAAGACUGGGAUAACUUCGGGAAACCGGAGCUAAUACCGGAUAACAUGUUGAACCGCAUGGUUCAACAGUGAAAGACGGUCUUGCUGUCACUUAUAGAUGGAUCCGCGCCGCAUUAGCUAGUUGGUAAGGUAACGGCUUACCAAGGCAACGAUGCGUAGCCGACCUGAGAGGGUGAUCGGCCACACUGGAACUGAGACACGGUCCAGACUCCUACGGGAGGCAGCAGUAGGGAAUCUUCCGCAAUGGGCGAAAGCCUGACGGAGCAACGCCGCGUGAGUGAAGAAGGUCUUCGGAUCGUAAAACUCUGUUAUUAGGGAAGAACAAAUGUGUAAGUAACUAUGCACGUCUUGACGGUACCUAAUCAGAAAGCCACGGCUAACUACGUGCCAGCAGCCGCGGUAAUACGUAGGUGGCAAGCGUUAUCCGGAAUUAUUGGGCGUAAAGCGCGCGUAGGCGGUUUUUUAAGUCUGAUGUGAAAGCCCACGGCUCAACCGUGGAGGGUCAUUGGAAACUGGAAAACUUGAGUGCAGAAGAGGAAAGUGGAAUUCCAUGUGUAGCGGUGAAAUGCGCAGAGAUAUGGAGGAACACCAGUGGCGAAGGCGACUUUCUGGUCUGUAACUGACGCUGAUGUGCGAAAGCGUGGGGAUCAAACAGGAUUAGAUACCCUGGUAGUCCACGCCGUAAACGAUGAGUGCUAAGUGUUAGGGGGUUUCCGCCCCUUAGUGCUGCAGCUAACGCAUUAAGCACUCCGCCUGGAGACACCGAGUUGU